UACGUAGGGUGCGAGCGUUAAUCGGAAUUACUGGGCGUAAAGCGUGCGCAGGCGGUUAUGUAAGACAGAUGUGAAAUCCCCGGGCUUAACCUGGGAACUGCAUUUGUGACUGCACGGCUAGAGUGCGGCAGAGGGGGAUGGAAUUCCGCGUGUAGCAGUGAAAUGCGUAGAUAUGCGGAGGAACACCGAUGGCGAAGGCAAUCCCCUGGGCCUGCACUGACGCUCAUGCACGAAAGCGUGGGGAGCAAACAGG
This 253-nucleotide ribosomal RNA is filed under the name uncultured bacterium. Its description in RNAcentral is "partial 16S ribosomal RNA". It matches the Rfam family "Bacterial small subunit ribosomal RNA", at positions 524 to 776 of the family's 1533-position model. The record is from RNAcentral.